GAUGAACGCUGGCGGCGUGCCUAAUACAUGCCAGUCGAGCGAACAGACGAGGAGCUUGCUCCUCUGACGUUAGCGGCGGACGGGUGAGUAACACGUGGAUAACCUACCUAUAAGACUGGGAUAACUUCGGGAAACCGGAGCUAAUACCGGAUAAUAUAUUGUACCGCAUGGUUCAAUAGUUAAAGACGGUUUUGCUGUCUCUUAUAGAUGUAUCCGCUCCGCAUUAGCUAGUUGGUAAGGUAACGGCUUACCAAGGCAACGAUGCGUAUCCGACCUGAGAGGGUGAUCGGCCACACUGGAACUGAGACACGGACCAGAAUCCUACGGGAGGCAGCAGUAGGGAAUAUUCCGCAAUGGGCGAAAGCGUGACGGAGCAACGCCGCGGGAGUGAUGAAGGUCUUCGGAUCGUAAAACUCUGUUAUUAGGGAAGAACAAAUGUGUAAGUAACUAUGCACGUAUUGACGGUACCUAAUCAGAAAGCAACGGCUAACUACGUG
This 497-nucleotide ribosomal RNA is filed under the name uncultured bacterium. RNAcentral describes it as "partial 16S ribosomal RNA". It matches the Rfam family "Bacterial small subunit ribosomal RNA", at positions 28 to 507 of the family's 1533-position model. The record is from RNAcentral.